RNAcentral lists this ribosomal RNA (78 nucleotides) under Roseburia lenta. RNAcentral's name for it is "partial 23S ribosomal RNA". Lineage: Bacteria; Bacillati; Bacillota; Clostridia; Lachnospirales; Lachnospiraceae. The record is from RNAcentral.
AGGUAGAUAGGACAGAGGUGGAAGUGUAGUAAUACAUGUAGCUGACUGUUACUAAUAGAUCGAAGGCUUAACCAAGAA